This 1182-nucleotide long non-coding RNA is filed under the name Sus scrofa (pig). RNAcentral describes it as "lncRNA (ENSSSCG00070017214.1)". Lineage: Eukaryota; Metazoa; Chordata; Mammalia; Artiodactyla; Suidae. The record is from RNAcentral.
CUGGCUGGUUCCAAAUAGGCAUGACACCUAAGGCCAGAGUUCCCAGAACAUUCCUCCUUGAAGGAAUGAGGAAGCAAGAAAAAGCACAUCUGGAGUCCACGGGCCAAGUCUGGCAGCGGUCAGUCCUGAGCCAACGUGGUCUGUGAGGGUUGGGCCCAGGUGGGAAAAUCCAGGGGCCCCCGAUGAUGAACAGGCAGCCACCAGGGGGCGCUGUGGGGGCUGGUGGCUCACCCGGGCACAGGGGCUGGGGGUGGGGGCAGGAUGCAGGGGGCUCUGUCUCCUCUCACCUCUUUCUUUCAAGGCCCUUCCUUUGCUUCUCACUGGCUCACUUGUUCAUACUUAAAAGGCAGUGGGACUGUGUCAAGAGCUGGUCCCUAGAGUCCAACCGCAGCCCUGCCCUCCUGGCCAUCUGAUCACAGCAAGUAACCUCACGCCCUCACUGUGCAGACGAGCUGGGACUUGGCACGUGCUGUGCGGUACACAGUUUCAGCACUGAUAACCCAGCUCCCAGCUCUUGUCACUUCCCUUAGGAGACCAAGUCCACCCACCUGGGCUCCCGGGGCCCACUCCCACCAGCCGGCCCCAGUCAGGCCUCCUCGUCCCUGUGCUGUCCCCGCCUGCCGUGUGUCCCCAGGCUGGUCCUGGCAGCUGCAGGAUGAAGCAAGCUCUUACCCAUAAAUGUCCUCUGCGAGCCUCUGAAUCAUCGUUCUCGAAACUUUGCCUUGGAAUUUGUUCUGUUGCCCCCAGUUGAGUGUGUCAAACAGGGAGCCCCAAGGCUGGGGGUGGGGGGGUGGGGGCGGGGGCGGGGGGCGGCUGCAGAACGUCACUUCCCUGGGAACAGCUCCCGACUUCAGCUGGCUCACACAUGGCUCAGAUGUGGGCUCCACAUCCUCUGCCAGGGAAAAUAGAAGACGUACAAAAAUUAAAAAGAAAGAACGUUUUCCUCAGCCGCAGUCUCCACGGAGCUUUCAGCAAAGGUCCAGGCCUGAGCGCGGCCAGAGCCCCAGCAAGCAUGGAAGCAGCCUUCCUCUGAAGACAAUCAGACCAGAGGGAACAGGCAGUGGGCGACUGGACCCCUCAGCACAGAGGGCUCAGGGAGUGGGGGCACUGACCCCCUGGGAAGUGGAGUCCUGCCCAGUGGGAGAAAGGGAAGGGGGACCCCGGGUGGGAGCGGGGCUCUGC